UAAAACAUUGUUUAAGUAAUAAAUCUGUAAUUUAUGAUAUUUAAUAAUUAUGUAUAAUUUCAUUUGUUAUUAGGUUUACGGCAGAUUCUACUUCAUUUGUUUUAAAUUGUGUUCAUCAGAACAGUUCAACAUUUGAAAAUGAUACGAAUAUCAUGAACAAUAUUGCUAAAAAUGAAGUGCCUUACAAAACGAAGAUUUGGAGAAGUCAUAAAUGGAUGACUGAUAAUUAUACUUUGUUUUAUAUAGUAUCAAUGCUAUUUCAUAUUUUUCCAGCUGUGCUAAUAGAUUUGGCUUUAAAAUGCUUUGGACGUCAACCAAUGUUACUACAACUUUAAAGAAGACUAUAUGCGGCCAACCUUGCGCUGUUCCACUUUUGCUCUAAUGACUGGAUAUUCGGCAAUACAAAUAAGUCACUUCUAAUAUCAACAAUAUCGCCUGAAGAUCAGGAUGCGUUUUCUUUUGACUAUUCCAAUUGCAAUAUUAGAGAGUAUUACAAGAAUUGUGUAAUUGAUAGCAAAAAAUAUAUUCUUCACGAGAAAAUGGACAUAAAUCAAUUACAUGAACUCAUUCUACGUAAUAAAAGGUAUAAGUUUUAAAAGAGAAAGUGACACUUGUAAGUAUAGUCACUCGUAAUAUCUUUUUUAUUAGAUGUCUACAGAUUAUCCAGCAAACACCAAACUACAAUUAAAUAAAUGUUAGUUAUAAUUUUCCACUCAACAUCGUAAUUAUUAUAUUACGACCCAUGUAACAAAAUGUCCGUUUAAUAAUCACAGUGCGCACAUACAAAUACUCGCACGCGUGUGACUCUCAUAACGCACGCAGAUGUGUCUUCAUUUAUGAUUAAAAAAAUUUUUUUAAUUAAUAAUAAUUAAUAAUAAAUAAUAAUUAAAAAAAAACUUUUUCAUAUUGUUAUAAAGUACUCUACGAGCCAUUCAACUUUCAUUCAGAACAUUUCUUUCUAUCUCUUAUGCCUUCGACGAUAUUCACUUGGAAAGAAAAAAAAAAGAUUUUUUUCAUAAUAAUGUUUAACCCCCUAAAACUGAAUUUAAGCACAAACAAAAAAUAUUUUUGUGUUACGGAUAAACUCCUCUAUAUAUACACAGAAUUUCAAAAUUUUUUGAAUUUCUUAUUCCUUGUAAUAAUUGUAUGACCUUAUUCUAAACAAGAAUAAUAUUUGUGUUAAAGACAAAUGAUGGGUUUUAAGGCGAUGCUGGAUUGACGGUGAAACUCACUUGACGUUGGUAUUUCAGAUUAUUGCAGAUUUUUCUUCUACGAACUAGGGUCGCGCGUGAGGCAAAGAGUAAGAGGAAUAGGCUAGCGCUCUUUGUCAAACGCACUCAUCUUGUUUUUUUGACUUUAGCGCCUCUAAUGCAGGAUUUCUGAACUACCAUAAAAGCAAUUUAUGCUCUUUGCAUCAAUAUAUGUGAAAUUUACAUAAACAAAUUUUAUUCAGGCUUUUCUUUUAUACUAGAACUUCUAGGAUCAUUCUGCAAGCGUCGUAUUGUUCUUUUAUUUUUUCUACUUGCCGUAAACUACUUAUUUUAUACAUACCAAGUCUAAAACUUUUAUAUGGGGCACAUGU
Long non-coding RNA from Solenopsis invicta (red fire ant), 1582 nucleotides. RefSeq lists it as uncharacterized. NCBI's taxonomy places the organism in Eukaryota, Metazoa, Arthropoda, Insecta, Hymenoptera, Formicidae. The transcript has 3 exons. The record is from RefSeq and is a predicted model, not a curated record.